UCGAGAGGGAAAGAGCCCAGACCAUCAGCUAAGGUCCCUAAAAUGUGCUAAGUGGAAAAGGUUGUGGGUCCACUGAAACAGCCAGGAGGUUGGCUUAGAAGCAGCCAUCCUUUAAAGAUAGCGUAACAGCUCACUGGUCUAGCAGGCCCGCGCCGAAAAUUCAACGGGGCUAAGCACAUUACCGAAGCUAUGGAUCCACAUUUCGGUGUGGAUGGUAGGGGAGCAUUCUGCCAACCAGCGAAGGUGUCUCGUGAGGGAUGCUGGAGGAAGCAGAAGAGAGUAUGCUGACAUGAGUAGCGAUAAACAAGGUGAAAAACCUUGUCGCCGUAAGCCCAAGGUUUCCUGAGCAAGGGUAAUCCUCUCAGGGUUAGUCGGUCCCUAAGGCAAGGCCGAAAGGCGUAGUUGAUGGGAAACAGAUUAAUAUUUCUGUACCACCAGGUGAACGUUUGAGUGAAGGGGGGACGGAGAAGGGUAGGCCAUCCGGGUGACGGAAUACCCGGUUCAAGCAGGUAGGAGGGGUACAUAGGCAAAUCCGUGGACCCAUAACUCCGAGAUGUGAUGAGGAGUCCCUUUGGGACAUAAACUGGUUAAUCCCACGCUUCCAAGAAAAGCCUCGUAGCGAGUUUGUCUGGUGACCGUACCGCAAACCGACUCAGGUGGGCGAGGAGAGAAUCCUAAGGCGCUUGAGACAACCCUGGUUAAGGAACUCAGCAAAAUUGCACCGUAACUUCGGGAGAAGGUGCACUCCGGCGUGUGUAAGAACUUACUUCUGAAGCAUUCUGGAGUCGCAGUGAAGAGGGGGUGACGACUGUUUACUAAAAACACAGGGCUCUGCAAACUCGUAAGAGGAUGUAUAGGGUCUGACGCCUGCCCGGUGCUGGAAGGUUAAGGGGAGAUGUUAUUCAAGGAAACGAGGAGAAGCAUUGAACCGAAGCCCCAGUAAACGGCGGCCGUAACUAUAACGGUCCUAAGGUAGCGAAAUUCCUUGUCGGGUAAGUUCCGACCUGCAUGAAUGGCGUAACGAUUGCCCCGCUGUCUCAACCAGGGACUCAGCGAAAUUUUACCAAGGGUGAAGAUACCCUUAACCCGCAGCAAGACGGAAAGACCCCGUGAACCUUUACUAUAGCUUGACAGUGAACUUCGGGAUAGUAUGUGUAGGAUAGGUGGGAGGCUUUGAAGCGGUGCCGCAAGGUGUCGUGGAGCCAGCCUUGAAAUACCACCCUUAUUGUUUUGAGGUUCUAACUCAGGUCCCUUAACGGGAUCGAGGACAUUGUCUGGUGGGUAGUUUGACUGGGGCGGUCGCCUCCAAAA
This 1311-nucleotide ribosomal RNA is filed under the name activated sludge metagenome. Its description in RNAcentral is "bacterial LSU rRNA". It matches the Rfam family "Bacterial large subunit ribosomal RNA", at positions 1011 to 2294 of the family's 2925-position model. The record is from RNAcentral.